GAUGAACGCUGGCGGCGUGCCUAAUACAUGCAAGUCGAGCGAACGGACGAGAAGCUUGCUUCUCUGAUGUUAGCGGCGGACGGGUGAGUAACACGUGGAUAACCUACCUAUAAGACUGGGAUAACUUCGGGAAACCGUAGCUAAUACCGGAUAAUAUUUUGAACCGCAUGGUUCAAAAGUGAAAGACGGUCUUGCUGUCACUUAUAGAUGGAUCCGCGCUGCAUUAGCUGGUUGGUAAGGUAACGGCUUACCAAGGCAACGAUGCAUAGCCGACCUGAGAGGGUGAUCGGCCACACUGGAACUGAGACACGGUCCAGACUCCUACGGGAGGCAGCAGUAGGGAAUCUUCCGCAAUGGGCGAAAGCCUGACGGAGCAACGCCGCGUGAGUGAUGAAGGUCUUCGGAUCGUANAACUCUGUUAUUAGGGAAGAACAUAUGUGUAAGUAACUGUGCACAUCUUGACGGUACCUAAUCAGAAAGCCACGGCUAACUACGUGCCAGCAGCCGCGGUAAUACGUAGGUGGCAAGCGUUAUCCGGAAAUAUUGGGCGUAAAGCGCGCGUAGGCGGUUUUUUAGUCUGAUGUGAAAGCCCACGGCUCAACCGUGGAGGGUCAUUGGAAACUGGAAAACUUGAGUGCAGAAGAGGAAAGUGGAAUUCCAUGUGUAGCGGUGAAAUGCGCAGAGAUAUGGAGGAACACCAGUGGCGAAGGCGACUUUCUGGUCUGUAACUGACGCUGAUGUGCGAAAGCGUGGGGAUCAAACAGGAUUAGAUACCCUGGUAGUCCACGCCGUAAACGAUGAGUGCUAAGUGUUAGGGGGUUUCCGCCCCUUAGCGCUGCAGCUAACGCAUUAAGCACUCCGCCUGGGGAGUACGACCGCAAGGUUGAAACUCAAAGGAAUUGACGGGGACCCGCACAAGCGGUGGAGCAUGUGGUUUAAUUCGAAGCAACGCGAAGAACCUUACCAAAUCUUGACAUCCUUUGACAACUCUAGAGAUAGAGCCUUCCCCUUCGGGGGACAAAGUGACAGGUGGUGCAUGGUUGUCGUCAGCUCGUGUCGUGAGAUGUUGGGUUAAGUCCCGCAACGAGCGCAACCCUUAAGCUUAGUUGCCAUCAUUAAGUUGGGCACUCUAAGUUGACUGCCGGUGACAAACCGGAGGAAGGUGGGGAUGACGUCAAAUCAUCAUGCCCCUUAUGAUUUGGGCUACACACGUGCUACAAUGGACAAUACAAAGGGCAGCGAAACCGCGAGGUCAAGCAAAUCCCAUAAAGUUGUUCUCAGUUCGGAUUGUAGUCUGCAACUCGACUACAUGAAGCUGGAAUCGCUAGUAAUCGUAGAUCAGCAUGCUACGGUGAAUACGUUCCCGGGUCU
RNAcentral lists this ribosomal RNA (1371 nucleotides) under uncultured bacterium. RNAcentral's name for it is "bacterial SSU rRNA". It matches the Rfam family "Bacterial small subunit ribosomal RNA", at positions 28 to 1381 of the family's 1533-position model. The record is from RNAcentral.